This 334-nucleotide RNase P RNA is filed under the name chicken gut metagenome. RNAcentral's name for it is "Bacterial RNase P class A". It matches the Rfam family "Bacterial RNase P class A". Rfam says of the family: Ribonuclease P (RNase P) is a ubiquitous endoribonuclease, found in archaea, bacteria and eukarya as well as chloroplasts and mitochondria. The record is from RNAcentral.
CAAACAGAUGGUCGCUGUGUGCUUAUGAUGAGCACAGAGAGGAAAGUCCGAGCAUCAAAAGAACAGGGUGCCAGUUAACGGCUGGUGGAGGCGACUCUAAGGAUAGUGCAACAGAAAUAGACUGCCCUUUAAUUAGGGUGAUGGUGGAAAGGUAGGGUAAGAGCCUACCGGAAACUUGGUAACAAGUUUUGCUCUGUAAACCCCACUCGAUGCAAGGUUAAGUUUAGGCUUUAUGCGUUCUUUCAUGCCUAACAAAAAUACCGCUUGAAUUUGUUGGUGACAACAAAGCUAGAUAGAUGACCAUUUAAUACAGAACUCGGCUUACAGUUUGGGU